CAGCAGCCGCGGUAAUGCGAAGGGGGCUAGCGUUGCUCGGAAUCACUGGGCGUAAAGGGUGCGUAGGCAGGUCUUUAAGUCAGGGGUGAAAUCCUGGAGCUCAACUCCAGAACUGCCUUUGAUACUGAAGAUCUUGAGUUCGGGAGAGGUGAGUGGAACUGCGAGUGUAGAGGUGAAAUUCGUAGAUAUUCGCAAGAACACCAGUGGCGAAGGCGGCUCACUGGCCCGAUACUGACGCUGAGGCACGAAAGCGUGGGGAGCAAACAGGAUUAGAUACCCCUGUAGUCCCUGUCUCUUAUAC
This 301-nucleotide ribosomal RNA is filed under the name uncultured bacterium. RNAcentral describes it as "partial 16S ribosomal RNA". It matches the Rfam family "Bacterial small subunit ribosomal RNA", at positions 509 to 807 of the family's 1533-position model. The record is from RNAcentral.